RNAcentral lists this ribosomal RNA (443 nucleotides) under uncultured bacterium. Its description in RNAcentral is "partial 16S ribosomal RNA". It matches the Rfam family "Bacterial small subunit ribosomal RNA", at positions 338 to 795 of the family's 1533-position model. The record is from RNAcentral.
CCUACGGGUGGCUGCAGUGGGGAAUAUUGGGCAAUGGGCGCAAGCCUGAACCAGCAACGCCGCGUGAAGGAAGAAGGCUCUACGGUUGGUAACUUCUUUUGUCAGGGACGAAGCAAGUGACGGUACCUGACGAAUAAGCCACGGCUAACUACGAGCCAGCAGCCGCGGUAAUACGGAGGUGGCAAGCGUUAUCCGGAUUUAUUGGGUGUAAAGGGCGUGUAGGCGGGAAUGCAAGUCAGAUGUGAAAACUAUGGGCUCAACCCAUAGCCUGCAUUUGAAACUGUAUGUCUUGAGUGCUGGAGAGGCAAUCGGAAUUCCGGGUGUAGCGGUGAAAUGCGUAGAUAUACGGAGGAACACCAGUGGCGAAGGCGGAUUGCUGGACUGUAACUGACGCUGAGGCGCGAAAGCGUGGGGAGCAAACAGGAUUAGAUACCCCGGUAGUC